UUAAUCACUUGCAGUACAUUUUAUUUCAGGAAGAAUGCCCUAUCACAAUUCAUUCCUCAAUCGUUGGAAAGCAAAUGUUCAUCCAAAAGAAAACACUAACUAAUCUGUUGACGAAAAAGUUGUAUAAAACAGCUAGAAUGCACUGAAAUAAAAUGUACUGCAAGUGAUUAAAGAUCAUAUGCAUACAUUUACAGAAUAUCAGAAAAGGUAGAGGUAACUCCCCACUCCCAGUGCCAGUGCCUUUGGUUAAUUGGUGAUGACCAGUAAGCACAUAUUUGUAAACACUGUACAGGCAACAUACUUGAGACAAACUCAUCAACUUUCCUGAUUUUCAAUUCAAGCAUUGAUGCAUGUUUACAAUUGGAGAACCCUCUCAAUGGCAGCAACAUAGAAUUCCUUUGGCAUUGUGCCAACGACCGACUCCCGCUUCUCUCCAUUUUUGAAAAGCAAAACCACCGGGACAGCUUUAAUUUCAUAAUUCUCAGCAAUUUGCAAGUCACUGUCUGUGUUAAGAACAAAGCAUUUUAGUUUCCCAUCAUAAUCUCCCGCAAUUUCAUCAAUCACCCGGUGAACCAUCCUGCAGGGCCCACACCAACUUGCAUAAAAUUCAACUAGGACUGGUAUAUCACUUUUCAAAAUCAACUUCUCCCAUGAAUCCUUAGUGACAGCUGCAGCUCGAGAAUCACGAGAGCAAAGAACCCUGAAAGGAGAAGGCGGAGGAGGCGCGCUUUUGACAGAGAGCAUAGCGAGUCUAUUGGAGUGCAAGGUGAAGGGGAAUGGGAGGGAGGGAAGGCGUAGAUGGCAGUGGUGGAGGGAGUACGGGGAGGCGCGUGGAGAAGGUAGAGGAAGAGGAGAGGAAAGUGAAGAAGAAGAAGCCAUUGGAGAAAAGAGAGGAGGUUUGUUAGUAGCAAACGGGUUUUAUUUACAAAGGAAAAGGAGAAUUAGUUGAGAGGCAGAGUUCGGUGGCAUCAGUCAG
RNAcentral lists this unclassified non-coding RNA (976 nucleotides) under Hevea brasiliensis (rubber tree). Lineage: Eukaryota; Viridiplantae; Streptophyta; Magnoliopsida; Malpighiales; Euphorbiaceae. The record is from RNAcentral.